UGGGGAAUAUUGCACAAUGGAGGGAACUCUGAUGCAGCGACGCCGCGUGAACGAAGAAGGCUUUCGAGUCGUAAAGUUCUUUUAUAUGGGAAGAUAAUGACGGUACCAUAAGAAAAAGCCCCGGCUAACUACAUGCCAGCAGCCGCGGUAAUACGUAGGGGGCUAGCGUUGUCCGGAAUCACUGGGCGUAAAGGGUUCGCAGGCGGAAAUGCAAGUCAGGUGUAAAAGGCAGUAGCUUAACUACUGUAAGCAUUUGAAACUGCAUAUCUUGAGAAGAGUAGAGGUAAGUGGAAUUUUUAGUGUAGCGGGGAAAUGCGUAGAUAUUAAAAAGAAUACCGGUGGCGAAGGCGACUUACUGGGCUCAUUCUGACGCUGAGGAACGAAAGCGUGGGUAGCAAACAGG
RNAcentral lists this ribosomal RNA (403 nucleotides) under Fusobacteriota bacterium. RNAcentral's name for it is "Fusobacteria bacterium partial 16S ribosomal RNA". It matches the Rfam family "Bacterial small subunit ribosomal RNA", at positions 355 to 776 of the family's 1533-position model. The record is from RNAcentral. Lineage: Bacteria; Fusobacteriati; Fusobacteriota.